AGGUGUGUUUCCAUGGGCUUGCGUCAAAGGGAAGAUCUCAUACAACCCAUGGAGUAUGACGUCAAGUUGUGAUCGUCAUCAAAAUUGCGAUGUGCAAGUUCAAGUGGAUCAGCACGAAGAUAGCAUGCUUGAAGCUUGCCGUCCAUUGUGGUGGCAAUGGACUUGUGAAGAUAUGCUGAAGAGUGGCUCACCCAUAGUGAGUAUGGGGGAGCAAUCAACUAGUCUUCAUCAAGCCAACACAAUCAAGAAAGGUGGUCCAUCUUGAGGAAGCCAAGAUCAUCAUCA
RNAcentral lists this long non-coding RNA (285 nucleotides) under Hordeum vulgare. RNAcentral describes it as "long non-coding RNA (HVUL_LNC018837)". Lineage: Eukaryota; Viridiplantae; Streptophyta; Magnoliopsida; Poales; Poaceae. The record is from RNAcentral.